RNAcentral lists this ribosomal RNA (466 nucleotides) under uncultured bacterium. Its description in RNAcentral is "partial 16S ribosomal RNA". It matches the Rfam family "Bacterial small subunit ribosomal RNA", at positions 28 to 505 of the family's 1533-position model. The record is from RNAcentral.
GACGAACGCUGGCGGCGUGCUUAACGCAUGCAAGUCGAACGGAAAGGCCCUGCUUUUGUGGGGUGCUCGAGUGGCGAACGGGUGAGUAACACGUGAGUAACCUGCCCUUGACUUUGGGAUAACUUCAGGAAACUGGGGCUAAUACCGGAUAGGAGCUCCUGCUGCAUGGUGGGGGUUGGAAAGUUUCGGCGGUUGGGGAUGGACUCGCGGCUUAUCAGCUUGUUGGUGGGGUAGUGGCUUACCAAGGCUUUGACGGGUAGCCGGCCUGAGAGGGUGACCGGCCACAUUGGGACUGAGAUACGGCCCAGACUCCUACGGGAGGCAGCAGUGGGGAAUAUUGCACAAUGGGCGGAAGCCUGAUGCAGCAACGCCGCGUGCGGGAUGACGGCCUUCGGGUUGUAAACCGCUUUCGCCUGUGACGAAGCGUGAGUGACGGCAAUGGGUAAAGAAGCACCGGCUAACUACG